RNAcentral lists this transfer RNA (74 nucleotides) under Oscillospiraceae bacterium. RNAcentral describes it as "tRNA-Arg". It matches the Rfam family "tRNA". Rfam says of the family: Transfer RNA (tRNA) molecules are approximately 80 nucleotides in length. Their secondary structure includes four short double-helical elements and three loops (D, anti-codon, and T loops). The record is from RNAcentral. Lineage: Bacteria; Bacillati; Bacillota; Clostridia; Eubacteriales; Oscillospiraceae.
GCCCCAAUAGCUCAGAUGGAUAGAGCGAACGCCUCCUAAGCGUUAGGCCAUCGGUUCGACUCCGGUUUGGGGCG